This 574-nucleotide long non-coding RNA is filed under the name Heterocephalus glaber (naked mole-rat). RNAcentral describes it as "lncRNA (ENSHGLG00000034777.1)". The record is from RNAcentral. Lineage: Eukaryota; Metazoa; Chordata; Mammalia; Rodentia; Bathyergidae.
CAGUAAGCAUUGACUUUGCAUCUGAAAUCUGUUUUAGUUUUCUCUCUUUAGCUAUUUACCUGCUUCAUUGAAUCUGUGAGGCUGCCAGGGCCAGCUACAGCUGGGGUGGAGGCCUCUCCACCUUCUGAGCGGACGUGACCUAUUCCGAGGAGGCUUCUCUAUCAGCCUCAGACCCGAGUUUUUAGACCAGAACAGAGAAAUCACGAUUAGAAACCAGUCCACAAUACUGAUGUACCCUACAUGCUCCCACAAGACCCUGGAUGAAUAGAAGACAUGUCCAGAGCCCUCAAAAUGCAGUUUGCAGUUCUGAAAGCCAAAAAUUCAAUGCAGUUUCACUGGAUAAAAAUCAAGGUGUGGCUUGGCAGGGCUGCAUUUCCUGGAGAGGCUCAAGGACAAAAUCUGUUUCCAGUUCUGGUGGCUCCUGCUCAUUGGAAUUUCUGCAUCGCUGUCCUCUCUGCCUCAGUCUCCACAAGGCUUUUCCUUCAGCCUCUUACCUCUAAGGAUCUGUGAAUGAAUUUGGGACUCACUUGGCUAAUCCAGCAUAAUCUCCCUAUGUCACAGUCUUUAACUUACU